GACGAACGCUGGCGGCGUGCUUAACACAUGCAAGUCGAACGAUGAACUGGGAGCUUGCUUCUGGGGAUUAGUGGCGAACGGGUGAGUAACACGUGAGUAAUCUGCCCCUUACUUUUGGAUAACUUCGGGAAACCGGGGCUAAUACGGAAUGUUCAGGUCUUGCCGCAUGGUGGGGUUUGGAAAGUUUUUCGGUUGGGGAUGAGCUCGCGGCCUAUCAGCUUGUUGGUGGGGUAAUGGCCUACCAAGGCGUUGACGGGUAGCCGGCCUGAGAGGGCGACCGGUCACACUGGGACUGAGACACGGCCCAGACUCCUACGGGAGGCAGCAGUGGGGAAUAUUGCACAAUGGGCGCAAGCCUGAUGCAGCGACGCCGCGUGAGGGAUGACGGCCUUCGGGUUGUAAACCUCUUUCAGCAGGGAAGAAGCUUUUUUGGUGACGGUACCUGCAGAAGAAGCGCCGGCUAACUACGUGCCAGCAGCCGCCGUAAGAC
RNAcentral lists this ribosomal RNA (490 nucleotides) under uncultured bacterium. RNAcentral's name for it is "bacterial SSU rRNA". It matches the Rfam family "Bacterial small subunit ribosomal RNA", at positions 28 to 526 of the family's 1533-position model. The record is from RNAcentral.